GACGGAGGGUGCUAGCGUUGUUCGGAAUUACUGGGCGUAAAGGGCGCGUAGGCGGCUACGGCAGUCGGGUGUGAAAGCCCGGGGCUCAACCCCGGAACGGCACCCGAUACUCUGUGGCUCGAGACCGGGAGGGGAGGGUGGAAUACCCAGUGUAGAGGUGAAAUUCGUAGAUAUUGGGUGGAACACCGGUGGCGAAAGCGGCUCUCUGGCCCGGUUCUGACGCUGAGGCGCGAAAGCGUGGGGAGCAAACAGG
Molecule: ribosomal RNA, 253 nt
Filed under: uncultured bacterium
Lineage: Bacteria
Description: partial 16S ribosomal RNA
Rfam family: Bacterial small subunit ribosomal RNA
Source: RNAcentral